UCCUGGCUCAGGAUGAACGCUAGCGGCAGGCUUAACACAUGCAAGUCGAGGGGUAUAGUUCUUCGGAGCUAGAGACCGGCGCACGGGUGCGUAACGCGUAUGCAAUCUACCUUUCACAGAGGGAUAGCCCAGAGAAAUUUGGAUUAAUACCUCAUAGUAUUAUGAAAUGGCAUCAUUUUAUAAUUAAAGUCACAACGGUGAAAGAUGAGCAUGCGUCCCAUUAGCUAGUUGGUAAGGUAACGGCUUACCAAGGCUACGAUGGGUAGGGGUCCUGAGAGGGAGAUCCCCCACACUGGUACUGAGACACGGACCAGACUCCUACGGGAGGCAGCAGUGAGGAAUAUUGGUCAAUGGGCGCAAGCCUGAACCAGCCAUGCCGCGUGCAGGAUGACGGUCCUAUGGAUUGUAAACUGCUUUUGCACAGGAAGAAACAACAUUACGUGUAAUGUCUUGACGGUACUGUGAGAAUAAGGAUCGGCUAACUCCGUGCCAGCAGCCGCGGUAAUACGGAGGAUCCAAGCGUUAUCCGGAAUCAUUGGGUUUAAAGGGUCCGUAGGCGGUUUAGUAAGUCAGUGGUGAAAGCCCAUCGCUCAACGGUGGAACGGCCAUUGAUACUGCUAGACUUGAAUUAUUAGGAAGUAACUAGAAUAUGUAGUGUAGCGGUGAAAUGCUUAGAGAUUACAUGGAAUACCAAUUGCGAAGGCAGGUUACUACUAAUGGAUUGACGCUGAUGGACGAAAGCGUGGGUAGCGAACAGGAUUAGAUACCCUGGUAGUCCACGCCGUAAACGAUGGAUACUAGCUGUUGGGAGCAAUUUCAGUGGCUAAGCGAAAGUGAUAAGUAUCCCACCUGGGGAGUACGUUCGCAAGAAUGAAACUCAAAGGAAUUGACGGGGGCCCGCACAAGCGGUGGAGCAUGUGGUUUAAUUCGAUGAUACGCGAGGAACCUUACCAAGGCUUAAAUGUAGAUUGACCGGUUUGGAAACAGACUUUUCGCAAGACAAUUUACAAGGUGCUGCAUGGUUGUCGUCAGCUCGUGCCGUGAGGUGUCAGGUUAAGUCCUAUAACGAGCGCAACCCCUGUUGUUAGUUGCCAGCGAGUCAAGUCGGGAACUCUAACAAGACUGCCAGUGUAAACUGUGAGGAAGGUGGGGAUGACGUCAAAUCAUCACGGCCCUUACGCCUUGGGCUACACACGUGCUACAAUGGCCGGUACAGAGAGCAGCCACUGGGCGACCAGGAGCGAAUCUACAAAACCGGUCACAGUUCGGAUCGGAGUCUGCAACUCGACUCCGUGAAGCUGGAAUCGCUAGUAAUCGGAUAUCAGCCAUGAUCCGGUGAAUACGUUCCCGGGCCUUGUACACACCGCCCGUCAAGCCAUGGAAGCUGGGGGUGCCUGAAGUCGGUGACCGCAAGGAGCUGCCUAGGGUAAAACUGGUAACUAGGGCUAAGUCGUAACAAGGUAGCCGUACCGGAAGGUGCGACUGG
This 1486-nucleotide ribosomal RNA is filed under the name Flavobacterium sp. WB2.1-83. Its description in RNAcentral is "bacterial SSU rRNA". It matches the Rfam family "Bacterial small subunit ribosomal RNA". Lineage: Bacteria; Pseudomonadati; Bacteroidota; Flavobacteriia; Flavobacteriales; Flavobacteriaceae. The record is from RNAcentral.